This 428-nucleotide ribosomal RNA is filed under the name Vibrio cholerae. RNAcentral describes it as "partial 23S ribosomal RNA". It matches the Rfam family "Bacterial large subunit ribosomal RNA", at positions 533 to 963 of the family's 2925-position model. The record is from RNAcentral. Lineage: Bacteria; Pseudomonadati; Pseudomonadota; Gammaproteobacteria; Vibrionales; Vibrionaceae.
GGGGAGUGAAAUAGAACCUGAAACCGUGUACGUACAAGCAGUAGGAGCACCUUCGUGGUGUGACUGCGUACCUUUUGUAUAAUGGGUCAGCGACUUAUAUUCAGUGGCAAGGUUAACCGUAUAGGGGAGCCGUAGCGAAAGCGAGUCUUAACUGGGCGCUCAGUCUCUGGAUAUAGACCCGAAACCGGGUGAUCUAGCCAUGGGCAGGUUGAAGGUUGAGUAACAUCAACUGGAGGACCGAACCGACUAAUGUUGAAAAAUUAGCGGAUGACUUGUGGCUAGGGGUGAAAGGCCAAUCAAACUCGGAGAUAGCUGGUUCUCCCCGAAAGCUAUUUAGGUAGCGCCUCGGACGAAUACUACUGGGGGUAGAGCACUGUUAAGGCUAGGGGGUCAUCCCGACUUACCAACCCUUUGCAAACUCCGAAUAC